ACCUGGCUGGCUCAGUUGGAAGAGCACGCGACUCUUUGAUCUUGGGGUCAUGAGUUCAAGCCCCAUGUCAGGUA
RNAcentral lists this transfer RNA (74 nucleotides) under Canis lupus familiaris (dog). It matches the Rfam family "tRNA". Rfam says of the family: Transfer RNA (tRNA) molecules are approximately 80 nucleotides in length. Their secondary structure includes four short double-helical elements and three loops (D, anti-codon, and T loops). Lineage: Eukaryota; Metazoa; Chordata; Mammalia; Carnivora; Canidae. RNAcentral also lists the same sequence under 1 other name. The record is from Rfam by way of RNAcentral.